Molecule: ribosomal RNA, 553 nt
Filed under: uncultured bacterium
Lineage: Bacteria
Description: bacterial SSU rRNA
Rfam family: Bacterial small subunit ribosomal RNA
Source: RNAcentral
GAAACCUUUUUUCGGAGAGUUUGAUCCUGGCUCAGGACAAAACGCUGGCGGAAUGUAUUAGGCAUGCAAGUCGCACGAACCUUCGGGUUAGUGGCGGACGGGUGAGUAACACGUGGGUAACCUGCCUCGUAGUGGGGAAUAACUCGCCGAAAGGCGAGCUAAUACCGCAUAUAACUCCUGGUGAGAAUCCGGGAAGUAAAAGCUCCGGCGCUACGAGAGGGGCCCGCGGCCGAUUAGCUUGUUGGUGGGGUAAUGGCCUACCAAGGCGACGAUCGGUAGCUGGUCUGAGAGGAUGGUCAGCCACACGGGGACUGAGAUACGGCCCCGACUCCUACGGGAGGCAGCAGCUAAGAAUCUUGCGCAAUGGGCGAAAGCCUGACGCAGCAAUUCCGCGUGGAGGACGAAGGCCCUCGGGUCGUAAACUCCUUUUGCGAGGGAGAAGUUCUGACGGUACCUCGCGAAUAAGCCACGGCUAACUACGUGCCAGCAGCCGCGGUAAUACGUAGGUGGCGAGCGUUGUCCGGAUUUAUUGGGUCGUAAGAGCCGCAGGCGG